GAUCCAGGGAGCAGGAUGACAGGGCAGAAAAAGACAGGAAAGGAGGAAAAGCUUUCAUAAGUGCACAAUUAGAUUUACUGCUCUAGAUAGUGGGGCCUCCAUGCAUCAGAACCUCUGAAAAUGAACUCCCCUCACUUUCUGAUAGGUUUGAAUGGGGGCUGACCCCACUAGCACACAAAAAGUCUGAACUCACAGGCAACUUUGCAUUGCGGCUGCAGCUCAUGUCAGAGUCUGCUCAGCCUGGUUAAGAACUCUUUUUGGAGAACUGGUGGAGUCAUUUGGAGGACAUAAGACACUCUGGCCAUAGCAGCGGUACUAUGCUGGGGGUCUGCUCCAGUCCCUGGUCAUCCCGGACUCUCCAAAGCCCAAAGGCUGGAAUGGCUAAGUCACCCAAACAGAAAAUAUAGUGGCCCACCCCUCUUUCUGGGAGCUCUGUUUCAGAGAGGUGUAAUGCUGCUGUUGGUGGAAGGUUGGAGCUCCAAGCCAGCAGAU
This 492-nucleotide long non-coding RNA is filed under the name Homo sapiens (human). RNAcentral describes it as "HSALNT0080501". Lineage: Eukaryota; Metazoa; Chordata; Mammalia; Primates; Hominidae. The record is from RNAcentral.